RNAcentral lists this ribosomal RNA (309 nucleotides) under Triticum aestivum (bread wheat). RNAcentral describes it as "partial small subunit ribosomal RNA". The record is from RNAcentral. Lineage: Eukaryota; Viridiplantae; Streptophyta; Magnoliopsida; Poales; Poaceae.
AUGUGGAAUGAUGAUCUUCAAGUUCAUGUGCAUACGGCUUCCUUCUAUGUUAUCUUAGCGAGCGUAGUUCAUGUAGCAACGGGUAGGGAUUUUGGUCUAGUUUGCAUCUAUGGUGAUCCUUAUCAUAGACAAACUGAUGUGAUUUGGGAUCAGAUUUCAAAUUGUGUGUAUUAUAAUCCUGGAAAGACAUUGUUAUGUAUGGGUGAUCUUAAUGAGCUUUUGUAUGAUAUGGAUAAAAGUAAUGCUAAUGUGAAUUAUCGUCUCCUGUUUGCUUUUCGUGCUUUGGUUAAGAAUUGUGGUUUUUUUUGA